UCCCACGCAUCUGCAGCAGCGCUUUAUGAACAGAAACUCCUGUGCAAUCUGGACGUUCCAGCAGGCUUCUGAACUCUGCAGGCUGCAGCGUUUUCUUCCUUUAGCUACCAGCACACCAGCGCAUUAGAGUGUUUUUUAGUUUUAGAGUAGAAAUAAACUAUUCUGGUCAAUUUUUCCAGCGCAUUGUACCAGUUUCAUAACCCUUCCAGUGCUACUGAGGUGUGUCCGGUUUGGUCCUCACAUGGAAACGGCAAUGCCCAACUCAGCACAGGGGGCUGAGACACCGGGCGAAUGGAAGGAGAGGUUAAGAAUAGAAAGGUGUUAUCACACCUGCCGUGCAUUCACAACAUCCAUGUCUUCAUGCUCUGCUGUUUGAGUGCCGCUUCUAGAAUCUUCUCAGCACCUGACCCACUCUACCUGCCUCCCUGCCCCUGCGCAGUGGGUACAAAGCUCUAUACUUCUCUAGAAAGCAGGCAGGACCAAUUACCAUCACUAGGUGGCACACACACAUCAGCAGGAAGAUGAACUGUGGAAACCAUGAAGAGGAUACGGACUGUGUGUUGUGAGUGCCUGCCCCUAGCCUGGUAUGCUGAGUUGCUCUGGCGCGGCUGAAAAUCAUGGAGGUGAGAAAACCCUGGGAUCCAUCAGAAAUCUCCUUAGAAGACACCACUCUGAAGCCCUGGGGUGUAGGUGGUCUGGUGGGCUAUGUUCUCACUCUAUAAAGAUGACGGCAGAACUCUGAAGGUCUUCACAACAACUCAAUGAAGUAGGUGUUAAUAUAAUCCCUGCACCAAACUAAGGAAAGAUACCAGCUCCGAGAUGGGAAUGCGGCACUCACGAGCAGCACCUGUGUGGCAGUUACUGUUGUGAAUAUCACCACCUUCAUAUUUUUUCCACCUUAGACAUUGAACUUGACUUGACUGCUCUCCUAGAGUCUCGCAAUUCUCCUCGAGAUUAAUUUUUCAGGACUUUCAAACUAGGACGAUUUAAAAAUAUAGGAAAAAAUGUUCAACGUAACUGGUUAUUCCAGAGAUGCAAAU
Long non-coding RNA from Chinchilla lanigera (long-tailed chinchilla), 1040 nucleotides. RefSeq lists it as uncharacterized. NCBI's taxonomy places the organism in Eukaryota, Metazoa, Chordata, Mammalia, Rodentia, Chinchillidae. The record is from RefSeq and is a predicted model, not a curated record. The transcript is spliced from 5 exons.